This 490-nucleotide ribosomal RNA is filed under the name uncultured bacterium. Its description in RNAcentral is "bacterial SSU rRNA". It matches the Rfam family "Bacterial small subunit ribosomal RNA", at positions 501 to 992 of the family's 1533-position model. The record is from RNAcentral.
CUACGUGCCAGCAGCCGCGGUAAUACGUAGGGUGCGAGCGUUAAUCGGAAUUACUGGGCGUAAAGCGAGCGCAGACGGUUACUUAAGCAGGAUGUGAAAUCCCCGGGCUCAACCUGGGAACUGCGUUCUGAACUGGGUGACUAGAGUGUGUCAGAGGGAGGUAGAAUUCCACGUGUAGCGGUGAAAUGCGUAGAGAUGUGGAGGAAUACCGAUGGCGAAGGCAGCCCCUUGGGAAUGUACUGACGUUCAUGCUCGAAAGCGUGGGUAGCAAACAGGAUUAGAUACCCUGGUAGUCCACGCUGUAAACGAUGUCGAUUUGGGGGUUGGCAAUUAAGUUUGAGUAGCGUAGCUAACGCGAUAAAUCGACCGCCUGGGGAGUACGGUCGCAAGGUUAAAACUCAAAGGAAUUGACGGGGACCCGCACAAGCGGUGGAGCAUGUGGAUUAAUUCGAUGCAACGCGAAGAACCUUACCUACUCUUGACAUCCAGA